RNAcentral lists this ribosomal RNA (349 nucleotides) under Acanthamoeba sp. RNAcentral's name for it is "SSU rRNA". It matches the Rfam family "Eukaryotic small subunit ribosomal RNA", at positions 769 to 1081 of the family's 1831-position model. Lineage: Eukaryota; Discosea; Longamoebia; Acanthamoebidae. The record is from RNAcentral.
GAGUGUUCAAAGCAGGCAGAUCCAAUUUUCUGCCACCGAAUACAUUAGCAUGGGAUAAUGGAAUAGGACCCUGUCCUCCUAUUUUCAGUUGGUUUGCCGCGAGGACCAGGGUAAUGAUUAAUAGGGAUAGUUGGGGGCAUUAAUAUUUAAUUGUCAGAGGUGAAAUUCUUGGAUUUAUGAAAGAUUAACUUCUGCGAAAGCAUCUGCCAAGGAUGUUUUCAUUAAUCAAGAACGAAAGUUAGGGGAUCGAAGACGAUCAGAUACCGUCGUAGUCUUAACCAUAAACGAUGCCGACCAGCGAUUAGGAGACGUUGAAUACAAAACACCACCAUGCGAUUGCGGUCGUCUU